Mus caroli (Ryukyu mouse) is the source of this 539-nucleotide non-coding RNA. The record is from RefSeq and is a predicted model, not a curated record. NCBI's taxonomy places the organism in Eukaryota, Metazoa, Chordata, Mammalia, Rodentia, Muridae.
ACACACACACACACACACACACACACACACACACACACACACACAAAUAUGGACGCACACGCGCGCGCGCACACAUUUCCCCAGGGUAGAGGCCGUUUUGAACCUCGGUUCUCUCAUUUGUGAAAUAUAUUCCUAAUAUCCAGGAUACAGAAAAGCUGUAGACACGGAAGAAGACCACCUGUGCAAAGCUGGCUGUGUACACACUUCCCCCGUCUGUGUACACACUUCCCCCGUCUGUGAAGAUGGCAGGCCUGUUCCCGUGGUAAAAGUGGUUUGGAAGCUUAAGGUUCUCAGCAUCCGGGCAUUAGGGCUGGAAGAACUGGACAAAGAAAGACAAACGUUCAGAACCAUCAGCAGGGAUGAGUGAGAAGUCAGAAGAAAUAGCACGUACCAGGCCGGCAUGACGGCUCAGCUCGUGACAAAGGCAUGGAACAGGGCCCAGUCUGCUCGCUGUCUUCUUUUGUUACGGAUGAGGAGUUUGAAGCUCCAAAAAGAGCCCCGGCUGACUGUACCACGCUCGCGGACAACUUAUUUGAGCU